GACGAACGCUGGCGGCGUGCUUAACACAUGCAAGUCGAACGGAAAGGCCCUGCUUUUGUGGGGUGCUCGAGUGGCGAACGGGUGAGUAACACGUGAGUAACCUGCCCUUGACUUUGGGAUAACUUCAGGAAACUGGGGCUAAUACCGGAUAGGAGCUCCUGCUGCAUGGUGGGGGUUGGAAAGUUUCGGCGGUUGGGGAUGGACUCGCGGCUUAUCAGCUUGUUGGUGGGGUAGUGGCUUACCAAGGCUUUGACGGGUAGCCGGCCUGAGAGGGUGACCGGCGACAUUGGGACUAAGAGACGGCGCAGUCUCCUACGGGAGGCAGCAGUGGGGAAUAUUGCACAAUGGGCGGAAGCCUGAGGCAGCAACGCCGCGGGCGGGAUGACGGCCUUCGGGUUGUAAACCGCUUGCGCCUGUGACGAAGCGUGAGUGACGGUAAUGGGUAAAGAAGCACCGGCUAACUACGUG
Molecule: ribosomal RNA, 468 nt
Filed under: uncultured bacterium
Lineage: Bacteria
Description: partial 16S ribosomal RNA
Rfam family: Bacterial small subunit ribosomal RNA
Source: RNAcentral